This 463-nucleotide ribosomal RNA is filed under the name uncultured bacterium. RNAcentral describes it as "partial 16S ribosomal RNA". It matches the Rfam family "Bacterial small subunit ribosomal RNA", at positions 28 to 507 of the family's 1533-position model. The record is from RNAcentral.
GAUGAACGCUGACAGAAUGCUUAACACAUGCAAGUCUUUGGCGAAGCUGUGCUUGCACAGCCUAGCCAAGGCGGACGGGUGAGUAACGCGUAAGGAACUUGCCCUGCAGUCAGGGAUAACAGACGGAAACGACUGAUAAGACCUGGUAAAGUCAGGCGGACUGAUGUCCAGCCUGAUGAAAAGAGAUGCUGCAGGAGAGCCUUGCGUCCUAUUAGCUUGUUGGUGGGGUAACGGCCCACCAAGGCGAUGAUAGGUAGCCGGCCUGAGAGGGUGGACGGCCACAAGGGGACUGAGAUACGGCCCUUACUCCUACGGGAGGCAGCAGUGGGGAAUAUUGGACAAUGGGGGCAACCCUGAUCCAGCAAUUCUGUGUGCACGAUGAAGGUUUUCGGAUUGUAAAGUGCUUUCAGCAGGGAAGAAAAAAAUGACGGUACCUGCAGAAGAAGCGACGGCUAAAUACGUG